This 265-nucleotide small nuclear RNA is filed under the name Mus pahari (shrew mouse). RNAcentral's name for it is "sRNA (MGP_PahariEiJ_G0008054.1)". The stretch from base 1 to 235 matches the Rfam family "7SK RNA", at positions 52 to 331 of the family's 331-position model. Rfam says of the family: 7SK was discovered as an abundant small nuclear RNA in the mid-70s but a possible function has only recently been suggested. Two independent studies have found that 7SK RNA binds the CDK9/cyclin T complex (known as elongation factor P-TEFb). P-TEFb activates transcription by phosphorylating the C-terminal domain of RNA polymerase II. The record is from RNAcentral. Lineage: Eukaryota; Metazoa; Chordata; Mammalia; Rodentia; Muridae.
AAGCAUAUAGCUGGAUCUGGAUUUAGCUAGGUGUUUGUCCCUUUUGUCUCUCACCCUUUCCCUCCCAAAGCUGCACACUUGAUCAAAGAGGAUGAUCUUUCCUAAAUCGAGGAGGACCAUCUUCACACAAGGGUAUAUGAGUAUCUGUGCUCCCCUGCGAGGACACUUAAAUAAGCUCUCGAUUUCAUUAAUAGAAACAAGCCUAUGAAAAUUAUCCACUGAGUCUUGUUUUGGUAGAUUGUGGAAUUUUAAGGAAUAAGUUCAC